Molecule: ribosomal RNA, 2902 nt
Filed under: Escherichia coli
Lineage: Bacteria; Pseudomonadati; Pseudomonadota; Gammaproteobacteria; Enterobacterales; Enterobacteriaceae
Also listed under: 1 other name
Description: bacterial LSU rRNA
Rfam family: Bacterial large subunit ribosomal RNA
Source: RNAcentral
UUAAGCGACUAAGCGUACACGGUGGAUGCCCUGGCAGUCAGAGGCGAUGAAGGACGUGCUAAUCUGCGAUAAGCGUCGGUGAGGUGAUAUGAACCGUUAUAACCGGCGAUUUCCGAAUGGGGAAACCCAGUGUGUUUCGACACACUAUCAUUAACUGAAUCCAUAGGUUAAUGAGGCGAACCGGGGGAACUGAAACAUCUAAGUACCCCGAGGAAAAGAAAUCAACCGAGAUUCCCCCAGUAGCGGCGAGCGAACGGGGAGGAGCCCAGAGCCUGAAUCAGUGUGUGUGUUAGUGGAAGCGUCUGGAAAGGCGCGCGAUACAGGGUGACAGCCCCGUACACAAAAAUGCACAUACUGUGAGCUCGAUGAGUAGGGCGGGACACGUGGUAUCCUGUCUGAAUAUGGGGGGACCAUCCUCCAAGGCUAAAUACUCCUGACUGACCGAUAGUGAACCAGUACCGUGAGGGAAAGGCGAAAAGAACCCCGGCGAGGGGAGUGAAAAAGAACCUGAAACCGUGUACGUACAAGCAGUGGGAGCCUCUUAAUGGGGUGACUGCGUACCUUUUGUAUAAUGGGUCAGCGACUUAUAUUCUGUAGCAAGGUUAACCGAAUAGGGGAGCCGAAGGGAAACCGAGUCUUAACUGGGCGUUAAGUUGCAGGGUAUAGACCCGAAACCCGGUGAUCUAGCCAUGGGCAGGUUGAAGGUUGGGUAACACUAACUGGAGGACCGAACCGACUAAUGUUGAAAAAUUAGCGGAUGACUUGUGGCUGGGGGUGAAAGGCCAAUCAAACCGGGAGAUAGCUGGUUCUCCCCGAAAGCUAUUUAGGUAGCGCCUCGUGAAUUCAUCUCCGGGGGUAGAGCACUGUUUCGGCAAGGGGGUCAUCCCGACUUACCAACCCGAUGCAAACUGCGAAUACCGGAGAAUGUUAUCACGGGAGACACACGGCGGGUGCUAACGUCCGUCGUGAAGAGGGAAACAACCCAGACCGCCAGCUAAGGUCCCAAAGUCAUGGUUAAGUGGGAAACGAUGUGGGAAGGCCCAGACAGCCAGGAUGUUGGCUUAGAAGCAGCCAUCAUUUAAAGAAAGCGUAAUAGCUCACUGGUCGAGUCGGCCUGCGCGGAAGAUGUAACGGGGCUAAACCAUGCACCGAAGCUGCGGCAGCGACACUAUGUGUUGUUGGGUAGGGGAGCGUUCUGUAAGCCUGUGAAGGUGGCCUGUGAGGGUUGCUGGAGGUAUCAGAAGUGCGAAUGCUGACAUAAGUAACGAUAAAGCGGGUGAAAAGCCCGCUCGCCGGAAGACCAAGGGUUCCUGUCCAACGUUAAUCGGGGCAGGGUGAGUCGACCCCUAAGGCGAGGCCGAAAGGCGUAGUCGAUGGGAAACAGGUUAAUAUUCCUGUACUUGGUGUUACUGCGAAGGGGGGACGGAGAAGGCUAUGUUGGCCGGGCGACGGUUGUCCCGGUUUAAGCGUGUAGGCUGGUUUUCCAGGCAAAUCCGGAAAACCAAGGCUGAGGCGUGAUGACGAGGCACUACGGUGCUGAAGCGACAAAUGCCCUGCUUCCAGGAAAAGCCUCUAAGCAUCAGGUAACAUCAAAUCGUACCCCAAACCGACACAGGUGGUCAGGUAGAGAAUACCAAGGCGCUUGAGAGAACUCGGGUGAAGGAACUAGGCAAAAUGGUGCCGUAACUUCGGGAGAAGGCACGCUGAUAUGUAGGUGAAGCGACUUGCUCGUGGAGCUGAAAUCAGUCGAAGAUACCAGCUGGCUGCAACUGUUUAUUAAAAACACAGCACUGUGCAAACACGAAAGUGGACGUAUACGGUGUGACGCCUGCCCGGUGCCGGAAGGUUAAUUGAUGGGGUUAGCGGCAACGCGAAGCUCUUGAUCGAAGCCCCGGUAAACGGCGGCCGUAACUAUAACGGUCCUAAGGUAGCGAAAUUCCUUGUCGGGUAAGUUCCGACCUGCACGAAUGGCGUAAUGAUGGCCAGGCUGUCUCCACCCGAGACUCAGUGAAAUUGAACUCGCUGUGAAGAUGCAGUGUACCCGCGGCAAGACGGAAAGACCCCGUGAACCUUUACUAUAGCUUGACACUGAACAUUGAGCCUUGAUGUGUAGGAUAGGUGGGAGGCUUUGAAGUGUGGACGCCAGUCUGCAUGGAGCCGACCUUGAAAUACCACCCUUUAAUGUUUGAUGUUCUAACGUUGGCCCGUAAUCCGGGUUGCGGACAGUGUCUGGUGGGUAGUUUGACUGGGGCGGUCUCCUCCUAAAGAGUAACGGAGGAGCACGAAGGUUGGCUAAUCCUGGUCGGACAUCAGGAGGUUAGUGCAAUGGCAUAAGCCAGCUUGACUGCGAGCGUGACGGCGCGAGCAGGUGCGAAAGCAGGUCAUAGUGAUCCGGUGGUUCUGAAUGGAAGGGCCAUCGCUCAACGGAUAAAAGGUACUCCGGGGAUAACAGGCUGAUACCGCCCAAGAGUUCAUAUCGACGGCGGUGUUUGGCACCUCGAUGUCGGCUCAUCACAUCCUGGGGCUGAAGUAGGUCCCAAGGGUAUGGCUGUUCGCCAUUUAAAGUGGUACGCGAGCUGGGUUUAGAACGUCGUGAGACAGUUCGGUCCCUAUCUGCCGUGGGCGCUGGAGAACUGAGGGGGGCUGCUCCUAGUACGAGAGGACCGGAGUGGACGCAUCACUGGUGUUCGGGUUGUCAUGCCAAUGGCACUGCCCGGUAGCUAAAUGCGGAAGAGAUAAGUGCUGAAAGCAUCUAAGCACGAAACUUGCCCCGAGAUGAGUUCUCCCUGACUCCUUGAGGGUCCUGAAGGAACGUUGAAGACGACGACGUUGAUAGGCCGGGUGUGUAAGCGCAGCGAUGCGUUGAGCUAACCGGUACUAAUGAACCGUGAGGCUUAACCUU